AUGUCAAGAUUGAGGCAUUUUUCGAAGUAAUCCUUAAAUCUUUCCCAUGUUUCAGGAUAGCUCUCGAGAUCAUUUUGCUUUAAUGUAUAUGCUUCAUUUCUGAUCU
RNAcentral lists this small nucleolar RNA (106 nucleotides) under Olea europaea subsp. europaea. RNAcentral's name for it is "Plant small nucleolar RNA R71". It matches the Rfam family "Plant small nucleolar RNA R71". Rfam says of the family: R71 is a member of the C/D box family of snoRNAs containing the C (UGAUGA) and D (CUGA) box motifs. Multiple nearly identical copies of this snoRNA have been identified in Arabidopsis, and it is thought to function as a 2'-O-ribose methylation guide for 18S ribosomal RNA. The record is from Rfam by way of RNAcentral. Lineage: Eukaryota; Viridiplantae; Streptophyta; Magnoliopsida; Lamiales; Oleaceae.